GAGGGUUUAGCUCAGCGGUAGUAGCGAAAGAUUGCAAAUCUUUAGGUCCCGUGUUCGAAUCACGGAAUCCUCU
Pilobolus umbonatus is the source of this 73-nucleotide non-coding RNA. The record is from the annotation of a GenBank genome assembly. Lineage: Eukaryota; Fungi; Mucoromycota; Mucoromycetes; Mucorales; Pilobolaceae.